RNAcentral lists this ribosomal RNA (447 nucleotides) under uncultured marine bacterium. Its description in RNAcentral is "bacterial SSU rRNA". It matches the Rfam family "Bacterial small subunit ribosomal RNA", at positions 360 to 804 of the family's 1533-position model. The record is from RNAcentral.
AAUAUUGGGCAAUGGAGGUAACUCUGACCCAGCCUUGCCGCGUGCAGGAAGACUGCCCUAUGGGUUGUAAACUGCUUUUAUACAGGAAGAAACACUCGUACGUGUACGAGCUUGACGGUACUGUAAGAAUAAGGACCGGCUAACUCCGUGCCAGCAGCCGCGGUAAUACGGAGGGUCCGAGCGUUAUCCGGAAUCAUUGGGUUUAAAGGGUCCGCAGGCGGUCAAUUAAGUCAGAGGUGAAAUCCCAUAGCUUAACUAUGGAACUGCCUUUGAUACUGGUUGACUUGAGUCAUAUGGAAGUAGAUAGAAUGUGUAGUGUAGCGGUGGAAUACAUAGAUAUUACACAGAAUACCGAUUGCGAAGGCAGUCUACUACGUAUGUACUGACGCUCAUGGACGAAAGCGUGGGGAGCGAACAGGAUUAGAUACCCUGGUAGUCCACGCCGUA